This is a long non-coding RNA of Papio anubis (olive baboon), 2886 nucleotides long. NCBI's taxonomy places the organism in Eukaryota, Metazoa, Chordata, Mammalia, Primates, Cercopithecidae. The record is from Ensembl.
CAUGGCUGGACAAGGUGGCUCAUACCUGUAAUCCAAGCACUUUGGGAAGCGGAGGUGGGAAGAUCACUUGAGCCUAGGAGUUCAAGAUCAGCCUGGGCAACAUAGUGAGACCCUAUCUCUCUUAAAUAAAUAAAUAAAUAAAUAAAUAAAUAAAUAAAUAAAUUAUCUAGGUGUGGUGGCACACAUCUGUGGUACCAGCUAUACAGGAGGCUGACGUGGGAUAGUUCCUUGAGCCUGAAGGCCCAGGUUGCAGUAAGCCAUAGUCAUGCCACUGCACUCCAGUGUGACAGAGCCAAAUCCUGUCAAAAAAUUUUUUAAAAAGAGUCCUGACUGGUGAGUGGCUCUCACACUGCAUGACACAGCUAUACUUACAUCUCCGUGUGGCUCCAGCUUUCUAGAACACAUCAAGCUUCCCUGACCCAUGCCAUGCCCUCUGGCCUCUGGGCCUUCACUGAAUGCUAUUCCCUCUACUUCUUGAGAUGGACUCUCAUUCUGUCGCCUAGGCUGGAGUGAAGUGGCGUGAUCUCUACUCACUACAACCUUUGCCUCCUGGGUGCAGGCAAUUCUCCUGCCUCAGCCUCCCAAGCAGAUGGGAUUACAGGCACAUACCACCAUGCCUGUAUUUUUAGUAGAGAUGGGGUUUCACCAUGUUGGCCAGGCUGGUCAUGAACUCCUGACCUCAGGUGAUCUGUCCACCUCGGUCUCCCAAAGUGUUGGGAUUACAGGUGUGAGCCACCGCACCCGGCCUAUUCUCUCUUCUUAGCAUGUUUUCCCCACCUUUUCCUGGCAAUAACCUGUCCUUCAAGUCUUUGCUUGGACAUUACCUCCUUCAGGAAACCUUCCCUGAACACCACCCAACUUCCACCUACUCAUUCUCUCACGUAGGUUCCCACAGCAGGUGUCUCCCUCAACUCACCCUGGACGGGGGCCACCUGGAUUACAUUCAUCGUCUCUUCCACUGGACCAUGAGCUCCUUGAGGGCAGAUAAGAAAACUGAGGCUCAGAACAGGAAGUUCAUUGCUCAACAUCAAAUAUCCAGGAAAUGGUGGAGCCUGAAUGGGAACUCAACUUCCGACACGGCAGUGGAUGUGGCCCAUCCCUCGGUGGUCUGGCUAGGUCUAUCUUAUGACUGUACGAGGUGAGUGAACAUGGGAGGAAUUGUUGAGAGCUGGGUGGGGAAAGAAGAGAGGUGUUAGGCUGUGGGGAGUGGAGGGACUUUGAAGGGAAAGAAAUUCCUAACUCUACCACUUCUCUGGUGACCUUCAUGGUUUGCCAUCUCUGCAUACUUUGAAUGCUUAUUUACUGGAUUAUUUUGUUCCAGAUUGACUUGCUCUGCAAAAAUCUUCAAUAAAUAAAUUCUUUUGUCUGGGUGCAGUGGUUCACACCUGUAAUCCCAGCACUUUGGAUGGCUGAAGUGGGAGGAUUACUUGAGCUUAGGAAUUAGAGACCAGCCUGGACAACAUAGUGAGACCCCAUCUCUACUAAAAAAAAAAAAAAAUCAGCCAGGCGUGGUUCCAGCUACUCAAAAGGCUGAGGCAAAAGGAUUGUUUGAGCCCAGGAGAUUGAGGCUGCAGUGAGCUAUGAUCAUGCCACCACACUCUAGCCUGGAUGAUACAGCAAGACCCUAUAUCAAAAAAAAGAAAAAAAAAUUUAUAAGGAAACUUCAUGAGACUGUAAGCAGAAAAAAGUGCCAGAAGUCAUAAACAAUAAAAACCAAUGCCUAGGCCAGGCGCGGUGGCUCACGCCUGUAAUCCCAGCACUUCGGGAGGUCGAGGCGGGCGUUUGAGACCAGUCUGACCAACAUGGUGAAACCCCAUCUCUACUAAAAAUACAAAAAUUAGCCAGGCAUGAUGGCAGUCGCCUGUAAUACCAGCUACUUGGGAGGCUGAGGCAGGAGAAUCACUUGAACCUGGGAGGCGGAGGUUGCAGUGAGCUGAGAUCGCGCCAUUGCACUCCAGCCUGGAUAACAAGAGCAAGACUUUGUCUCAAAAACAAAACAAAACAAAACAAAACAAACAAAAACUAAAACCAAUGCCCAUUGAAGGCUUACCCUGUGCCAUAAAAUGUUUGAGCGCUUUCUGUAUAUUAACUUAUUGAAUCUCUGUAAUAACCCUAGAAAUAGGUGCUUUUUCUCCCACUUCAAGGAUGAAGGAACAGGGAUGGGGGAACUAAUGAGCUUAAAGGAAAAUAGCUUGUAGGGGCUAGAACUGGGAUUUGAACCGCCUAAAACCAGGAUUAGGAGCUAAUCCAUAACUACCACUAUACUCACUUUUAAAGAAAAAUUAAUUACUUUAAAAAAAAAAUCAACAUUAGUACCAUCUCAAUCAUUAAAAACCAAUCUACCUGUACCUUGCAUAUAGGAGAGCAGAGGGCCAGGGCCGGGGACCUCCGGGCUGACUUAGUGCAAAGGCAAUGUUUUGUUACUUUUAAAAAUUCUAGACUGAAUAUUGGAGUGGUUUGCAGAAGAGAGAGAAAAUGUUGAUAAAACUUCAGGAGAAUGAGUGGUCGAAAAUUUUUGACAUUCUUUAAACUUGACAGGCCCAGAAACAGAAGGGGCUGGGGUCUGGACUCCUGGGUCUGAGGGAGGGGGCUGGGGGCCUGAACUCCUGGGUCUGAGGGGAGGGAGGGGCGGGGGCCUGGGCUCCUGGGUCUGAGGGAAGAGGGGCUGGGGUCUGGACUCCUGGGUCUGGGGAGGGAGGGGGCUGGGGGUCUGGACUCCUGGGGUCUGAGGAGGAGGGCUGGGGACCUGGACUCCUGGGUCUGAGGGGAGGAGGGGCGGGGGCCACGGGCUCCUGCUGAGGAGGAGGAGUUCAGGAGUCUGAACUCCUGGGUCUGAGAGGGCGGGGGCCUGGAUCCCUGGGUCUGAGGGAGGGGCGGGGCCUGGAC